GGAGUUAGCCGGUGCUUCUUCUGUGAGUGAUGUCCUUCCUGCCGGCUAUUAACCCGCAGGCCUUCUUCCUCACUGAAAGUGCUUUACAACCCGAAGGCCUUCUUCACACACGCGGCAUGGCUGGAUCAGGGUUGCCCCCAUUGUCCAAUAUUCCCCACUGCUGCCUCCCGUAGGAGUCUGGGCCGUGUCUCAGUCCCAGUGUGGCUGAUCAUCCUCUCAGACCAGCUACGGAUCGUCGCCUUGGUGAGCCGUUACCUCACCAACCAGCUAAUCCGACAUAGGCUCAUCCGAUAGCGCGAGGCCCGAAGGUCCCCCGCUUUCCCCCGUAGGGCGUAUGCGGUAUUAGCCUGGGUUUCCCCAGGUUAUCCCCCACUACCGGGCAGAUUCCUAUCGCAUUACUCACCCGUCCGCCGCUCGCCACCAGGGAGCAAGCUCCCCGUGCUGCCGCUCGACUUGCAUGUGUUAGGCCUGCCGCCAGCGUUCAAUCUGAGCCAUGAUCAAACUCUGA
Molecule: ribosomal RNA, 508 nt
Filed under: uncultured bacterium
Lineage: Bacteria
Description: partial 16S ribosomal RNA
Source: RNAcentral